AACGUAGGAGACAAACGUUAUCCGGAGUUACUGGGCGUAAAGGGCGUGUAGGCGGACUGUUAAGUCUGGCGUGAAAGCUCCCGGCUAAACCGGGAGAGGUCGUUGGAUACUGGCAGACUAGAGGAUGGUAGAGGCGUGUGGAAUUCCGGGUGUAGUGGUGAAAUGCGUAGAGAUCCGGAGGAACACCAGUGGCGAAGGCGACACGCUGGGCCAUACCUGACGCUAAAGCGCGACAGCAUGGGGGGCAAACGGG
Molecule: ribosomal RNA, 253 nt
Filed under: uncultured bacterium
Lineage: Bacteria
Description: partial 16S ribosomal RNA
Rfam family: Bacterial small subunit ribosomal RNA
Source: RNAcentral